CACCACUGAAUCUUUAGCAUAUCUUGUGUCCUUGCUUGAUUUUAUCAUCGCCACAUUUCUGCCAUUGUUGCCUUCAGACUUGAUGCGACGGAGAAGAGAGGUGGUUUUUCCAGCAAACAUUGGNNNNNNNGACAUGAAUCUCACCAGCUGUUUUGUGCUUUCCGUCUAUGGAGCUCAAGGACACAGAGGACCUAAAGGCAGCCAUGGACGCUAGAAAUUUGGGGGAUUUGAGGAAAAGG
Molecule: unclassified non-coding RNA, 239 nt
Filed under: Hevea brasiliensis (rubber tree)
Lineage: Eukaryota; Viridiplantae; Streptophyta; Magnoliopsida; Malpighiales; Euphorbiaceae
Source: RNAcentral